RNAcentral lists this ribosomal RNA (326 nucleotides) under uncultured bacterium. Its description in RNAcentral is "bacterial SSU rRNA". It matches the Rfam family "Bacterial small subunit ribosomal RNA", at positions 1 to 334 of the family's 1533-position model. The record is from RNAcentral.
CUAGCGACUUCAGAGUUUGAUCCUGGCUCAGAACGAACGCUGGCGGCAUGGAUUAGGCAUGCAAGUCGAACGAGGUAGCAAUACCGAGUGGCGGAAGGGUGAGGAACGCGUGAGUAAUCUGCCCUCUAGUUGGGAAUAACAGUUGGAAACGACUGCUAAUACCGAAUGUGGCUAUUGGACCGCAUGGUCUUAUGGCUAAAGAUUUAUCGCUAGAGGAUGAGCUCGCGUCCCAUUAGCUAGUUGGUGAGGUAACGGCUCACCAAGGCGACGAUGGGUAGCUGGUCUGAGAGGAUGGUCAGCCACACUGGGACUGAGACACUGCCCAG